This is a long non-coding RNA of Melanotaenia boesemani (Boeseman's rainbowfish), 506 nucleotides long. RefSeq lists it as uncharacterized. NCBI's taxonomy places the organism in Eukaryota, Metazoa, Chordata, Actinopteri, Atheriniformes, Melanotaeniidae. The record is from RefSeq and is a predicted model, not a curated record. The transcript is spliced from 3 exons.
CUCCUGUCCCCAGUCCUCCUCCCCAACUCCUCUCUUGUCCUCCUGUCCCCAGUCCUCCUCCCCAACUCCUGUCUUGUCUUCCUGUCCCAAAUCUUCCUCCCUGCAUGCUCCAAUGUCUGUUGGACUUACCUCACAGAAGAAAAGACGAAGGAGGACAGCAGACACAGUUGGGCUGUGUGGAGGUCUUGGUGCAGUGGCAUCCUUGCUCUGGAUGUGGAAUGAAGUGGAAAAACUCUUGGGAACCAAAGGCAAAUAUUCAGAUAUAAAACCCUAAAAUGACUGUUAUAGUUAAUUUCAUUGUUCUAUGUUUGGAUGUUGUAUUAUACAUGGUAAUGCAACUGUUGGACCAUUAUUUGACAUUUUCUGUUUCUGUAAAUGUUCAAUUGGUAAGCUGUAACAGAAGAAGUGACAUUAACGAGUAAUCUCUUGUAGCAUUCAGCUAUGAAGUAUGGCUUUUACUCAGGUAUUGUGAGUAAAAUAAUGUUAAUAAAAAUAUUUUGUGCAGA